CCUCGUCAGGACCUGGCUCUGCCCUCAGAGUCAGUCUGGAUCCAGGAGUGAUUCAUCUUACACAGAUGAGAGGGGGUUAAAAAGAAAAGAACAGUCAGGACAAAUGUGUUUUCAAUGGUGCUUAACAGCAGGGAGACCAUUGAGACUUCAGAGCAAUGCUACUGGAGUGUGACAUCAUAAUACGCCAAAUACUAGGUUCUCCCGCCUUUUGGAGUUUAUGGGCUAAUUUCUCCCAAGACAUGUGAGUUCCUUGUGCCGCGGGUGGACUCGUGGGCGGCCGGCCAGCCCAGAGUGACAGCGACUCAGUGUCUGGAAGCCCCACUGGGUUGUGAAAUGAACAAGGCCCUCUGUGCCCCUGAUCAGGCCCGUGGGAGCCCCCAGGCUCCGGGAGCAAGCAUCUCCCAGCUCCUCAAGAGCUGACAUAUAUCCUGCCUUUAAGACAAGACUACAAUUGCAAAUCCGAGAAUAUAAAUUACACUUUCAUCUUU
Non-coding RNA from Delphinapterus leucas (beluga whale), 488 nucleotides. NCBI's taxonomy places the organism in Eukaryota, Metazoa, Chordata, Mammalia, Artiodactyla, Monodontidae. The record is from RefSeq and is a predicted model, not a curated record.